Carassius gibelio (silver crucian carp) is the source of this 205-nucleotide long non-coding RNA. RefSeq lists it as uncharacterized. The transcript is spliced from 3 exons. The record is from RefSeq and is a predicted model, not a curated record. NCBI's taxonomy places the organism in Eukaryota, Metazoa, Chordata, Actinopteri, Cypriniformes, Cyprinidae.
CGGGGCGCAGCUCAACCGUCAAGCAGCUGAACGGACGCUGUCUCUCAUGGUUGUUUUCACUAAUUUCAGAUUAUUCCAUGCUGAUGGCCGUGCGUGUAUCCAGCUGAAGAACAAUUUUAGACAUAACUACAGACUCCUUUAUCCAAAGCGACUUACAGAUGAAGACAGUGGAAGCAAUCAAAAACAACAAAUAGAGCAAUGAUAU